AUACGUAGGGUGCGAGCGUUGUCCGGAAUUACUGGGCGUAAAGAGCUCGUAGGUGGUUUGUCGCGUCGUCUGUGAAAUUCCGGGGCUUAACUCCGGGCGUGCAGGCGAUACGGGCAUAACUUGAGUACUGUAGGGGAGACUGGAAUUCCUGGUGUAGCGGUGAAAUGCGCAGAUAUCAGGAGGAACACCGGUGGCGAAGGCGGUGCUCUGGUAGGAAGCUGCAGCUGAGGAGCGAAAGCAUGGGUAGCGAACAGGAUUAGAUACCCUGGUAGCCCAGGUCGUAAACGGUGGGCGCUAGGUGUAGGGGUCUUCCGCGACUUCUGUGCCGUAGCUAAAGCAUUAAGCGCCCCGCCUGGGGAGUACGGCCGCAAGGCUAAAAAUCAAAGGAUGUGACGGG
RNAcentral lists this ribosomal RNA (397 nucleotides) under uncultured bacterium. RNAcentral describes it as "partial 16S ribosomal RNA". It matches the Rfam family "Bacterial small subunit ribosomal RNA", at positions 523 to 917 of the family's 1533-position model. The record is from RNAcentral.